Molecule: unclassified non-coding RNA, 453 nt
Filed under: Hevea brasiliensis (rubber tree)
Lineage: Eukaryota; Viridiplantae; Streptophyta; Magnoliopsida; Malpighiales; Euphorbiaceae
Source: RNAcentral
UCAUCUUCCCAUCAAUCAUGAUGAGAACUCAAAAAAUAGAACCAAUUUGAUGAUGCAACAACUUAACAGUAGCAAACAAGAAACCCAAAAAAGCCACUAGAGAAAAAUGCAAACAAGAUUGAAGAAAUAGUCAAGGCAGAGGCAUGACAUACAAAAAAAAAUUGCUAGGAAGAAGAACAGUAAAAAAAGGAAUCACGGGCCGGCGCGUGAGGAAAGAAAGCCGCAAGAUUGUGAUGGCGAGUGGGGCCAUAUGCUUGUCCAGAUGGCACUGGAUUUUUCACAAUAGGCCAAUCAAUGGCCAAGCUUCCUCCUGGGACAAGCGGUGUUGAUCAACUCCCUCUUGAGUGUCACCUAGUAGCUUGACCCUCCUAAGCCCUAAAACACAUAUUUGAAACCUAUGCCUUGAAAUCACUGGCAAGGCUCUGAUACCAUUUUGAAACUGACGUAUUUAAG